Molecule: long non-coding RNA, 1256 nt
Organism: Pogoniulus pusillus (Red-fronted tinkerbird)
Lineage: Eukaryota; Metazoa; Chordata; Aves; Piciformes; Lybiidae
Exons: 2
Source: RefSeq, a predicted model, not a curated record
AAUGAAGCUCCCUCCAGUCACCUGCUGCAAGACACAUUAUCCAGCUUCCUAACCUUAAGGAUGAGACCCUAUCAAUAUUGCCUCUGCUUUUGUGAUCAGGGUAGUAGUGCAAUAUUGCUUAUAGGGUCUUGUCUUUCGAGGGUUAUUCUUCACGGAGAGAGAAGAAAGCCACAGCAGGAAAAAAAAUAAUCCUGUGUGCCUAUGGAGUUUAGGGAGAAGUUGUGAAAUGCUGAACGUUGUUAGAUAGGCAAGUAAUUGCGCAGAGACGUUUUCUGGUGACAAAUACUUGUGCUAUUGUGGUGACUCAGGUUGUGAAUCACACAGGAUUCAAAACGGCCUCGUGUUUAAACCACACAAGCAGUGAUUGAAACCGGAGAAACCCAUCAUGGCUCCAUUUUAAAACAGCGUGAGUCCCAAGACAUUUGAAGGGUGCCUGUUUUACAUAAUGAUGCAAACACCCACCAAGGGAUGGGAGGAGAUACGUAGCCACACUUGCUGUCUCUGUGCCUGAUCCCAGCCCGAAAACCAGUGCGAUGCGAAGCAGAGCACGCACAAAGAGGCCGAGGCUCUAAUCCCAAUAACCUCCAAACAAAGCUCAUGCCUCUGUCUGGCGAGCGCGGCCCGCCCAGCACUCGCUGCGGGCUCUGCGGCCAGGCCGGGCUGCCCAGGGCUGUGCCAGGGUCGGGUGGCGCAGCGGGGCAGAGGACUGACCCCGGCCCUUCUCGAGGGCUGUUCACCGAGCAUCAUUCCGGGGAGAGGAAGCCAGCUCGGGGACAAAGCCAGGAACCCUCCUUGGGCUCUUCCUCCGUGCCCCUAGCCCGACAGCUGGGCUGCAGGCCAUGGGGCGGCCGCGGCUGCUGGGCCAGCGCUGGGACCACCAGGCGGGCUGCCCCUCUUUCCCUGUUGCACUACUGUCACGGUCGCAGCGAGCAGUGCAAUAAUGAAAGGGCGUCAGUGCGCCGGGGAGCGGCGACAGCCGGUGACAGCGUGCGGGGCCGGGACGUCCCGCCGCCCCCUGAGAGCCACCUUAACGGGGGGAGGAAGCUUUGGUUGUGCAACUUUCUUUGUUAAAACACGCAGCGGCGAGCAGUGCGCGCAGGGGCAGGGCAAGGUGAGCGGCUCCGCACGCCGCCCUGCCCCGGGCCCGCUGCCAUGGCCGCUCCGCCAGUCCCACUCCCUUCGCACGGCCGCGAGGCCUGGGGCAGGACGAGCCACUGCUGUACACGGCCAAUAUCGAAUAAAUAAAGUGACUCCCA